RNAcentral lists this ribosomal RNA (301 nucleotides) under uncultured bacterium. RNAcentral describes it as "partial 16S ribosomal RNA". It matches the Rfam family "Bacterial small subunit ribosomal RNA", at positions 509 to 808 of the family's 1533-position model. The record is from RNAcentral.
CAGUCGCCGCGGUAAUACGUAGGGUGCAAGCGUUAAUCGGAAUUACUGGGCGUAAAGCGUGCGCAGGCGGUUAUAUAAGUCAGAUGUGAAAUCCCCGGGCUCAACCUGGGAACUGCAUUUGAGACUGUAUGGCUAGAGUGUGUCAGAGGGGGGUAGAAUUCACGUGUAGCAGUGAAAUGCGUAGAUAUGUAGAGGAAUACCGAUGGCGGAGGCAGCCCCCUGGGAUAACACUGACGCUCAUGCACGAAAGCGUGGGGAGCAAACAGGAUUAGAUACCCCCGUAGUCCCUGUCUCUUAUACA